UUGACCUCGGAUCAGGUAGGAAUACCCGCUGAACUUAAGCAUAUCAAAAGGCGGAG
Molecule: ribosomal RNA, 56 nt
Filed under: Fusarium asiaticum
Lineage: Eukaryota; Fungi; Ascomycota; Sordariomycetes; Hypocreales; Nectriaceae
Description: partial 28S ribosomal RNA
Source: RNAcentral